Molecule: transfer RNA, 104 nt
Filed under: Xylona heveae TC161
Lineage: Eukaryota; Fungi; Ascomycota; Xylonomycetes; Xylonales; Xylonaceae
Rfam family: tRNA
About the family: Transfer RNA (tRNA) molecules are approximately 80 nucleotides in length. Their secondary structure includes four short double-helical elements and three loops (D, anti-codon, and T loops).
Source: Rfam by way of RNAcentral
GUCGCGAUGCCAGAGUGGUUAAUGGGUGUGCCUGCUAUCUCCUAUUAGGAGUGCAGUCACAGCACAUGUCUUCGGACGCGCAGGUUCGAAUCCUGCUCGCGACG